UACGAAGGGGGCUAGCGUUGCUCGGAAUCACUGGGCGUAAAGCGCGCGUAGGCGGAUUGUUAAGUCAGGGGUGAAAUCCUGGAGCUCAACUCCAGAACUGCCUUUGAUACUGGCGAUCUCGAGUCCGGGAGAGGUGAGUGGAACUGCGAGUGUAGAGGUGAAAUUCGUAGAUAUUCGCAAGAACACCAGUGGCGAAGGCGGCUCACUGGCCCGGUACUGACGCUGAGGCGCGAAAGCCAGGGGAGCAAACGGG
Molecule: ribosomal RNA, 253 nt
Filed under: uncultured bacterium
Lineage: Bacteria
Description: partial 16S ribosomal RNA
Rfam family: Bacterial small subunit ribosomal RNA
Source: RNAcentral